UGAGGAAUAUUGCACAAUGGGGGAAACCCUGAUGCAGCAACGCCGCGUGGAGGAUGACGGCCCUUGGGUUGUAAACUCCUUUUCUGUGGGACGAGAGAGGACGGUACCACAGGGAUAAGUCACGGCUAACUACGUGCCAGCAGCCGCGGUAAUACGUAGGUGGCGAGCGUUAUCCGGAAUUACUGGGCGUAAAGCGCAAGCAGGCGGUCUGUUAAGUUUGACGUAAAAUCUCCUGGCUUAACUGGGAGGGGUCGUUGGAGACUGGCAGACUUGAGGCGAUGAGAGGGGCAUGGAAUUCCCGGUGUAGUGGUGGAAUGCGUAGAGAUCGGGAGGAACACCAGAGGCGAAAGCGGUACCCUGGCAUUGGCCUGACGCUGAGAUGCGAAAGCGUGGGGAGCGAACGGGAUUAGAUACCCCGGUAGUCCACGCCGUAAACGAUGAGCACUGGGUGUCGGUGGGGUUAGAGCCAUCGGUGCCGAAGCAAACGCGUUAAGUGCUCCGCCU
This 504-nucleotide ribosomal RNA is filed under the name uncultured Chloroflexota bacterium. RNAcentral's name for it is "bacterial SSU rRNA". It matches the Rfam family "Bacterial small subunit ribosomal RNA", at positions 355 to 874 of the family's 1533-position model. The record is from RNAcentral. Lineage: Bacteria; Bacillati; Chloroflexota.